Molecule: ribosomal RNA, 468 nt
Filed under: uncultured bacterium
Lineage: Bacteria
Description: partial 16S ribosomal RNA
Rfam family: Bacterial small subunit ribosomal RNA
Source: RNAcentral
GACGAACGCUGGCGGCGUGCUUAACACAUGCAAGUCGAACGGAAAGGCCCUGCUUUUGUGGGGUGCUCGAGUGGCGAACGGGUGAGUAACACGUGAGUAACCUGCCCUUGACUUUGGGAUAACUUCAGGAAACUGGGGCUAAUACCGGAUAGGAGCUCCUGCUGCAUGGUGGGGGUUGGAAAGUUUCGGCGGUUGGGGAUGGACUCGCGGCUUAUCAGCUUGUUGGUGGGGUAGUGGCUUACCAAGGCUUUGACGGGUAGCCGGCCUGAGAGGGUGACCGGCCACAUUGGGACUGCGCUACGGCCCAGACUCCUACGGAAGGCAGCAGUGGGGAAUAUUGCACAAUGGGCGGAAGCCUGAUGCAGCAACGCCGCGUGCGGGAUCACGGCCUUCGGGUUGUAGACCGAUUUCGCCUGGGACGAAGCGUGCGUGACGGUAAUGGGUAAAGAAGCACCGGCUAACUACGUG